Molecule: ribosomal RNA, 253 nt
Filed under: uncultured bacterium
Lineage: Bacteria
Description: partial 16S ribosomal RNA
Rfam family: Bacterial small subunit ribosomal RNA
Source: RNAcentral
UACGAAGGGGGCUAGCGUUGCUCGGAAUCACUGGGCGUAAAGCGCACGUAGGCGGCUUUUUAAGUCAGGGGUGAAAUCCUGGAGCUCAACUCCAGAACUGCCUUUGAUACUGUGAAGCUUGAGUCCGGGAGAGGUGAGUGGAACUGCGAGUGUAGAGGUGAAAUUCGUAGAUAUUCGCAAGAACACCAGUGGCGAAGGCGGCUCACUGGCCCGGUACUGACGCUGAGGUGCGAAAGCGUGGGGAGCAAACAGG